AUUGAACGCUGGCGGCAUGCCUUACACAUGCAAGUCGAACGGUAACAGGUCUUCGGAUGCUGACGAGUGGCGAACGGGUGAGUAAUACAUCGGAACGUGCCCGAUCGUGGGGGAUAACGAGGCGAAAGCUUUGCUAAUACCGCAUACGAUCUACGGAUGAAAGCGGGGGAUCUUCGGGCCUCGCGCGGACGGAGCGGCCGAUGGCAGAUUAGGCAGUUGGUGGGAUAAAAGCUUACCAAGCCGACGAUCUGUAGCUGGUCUGAGAGGAUGAUCAGCCACACUGGGACUGAGACACGGCCCAGACUCCUACGGGAGGCAGCAGUGGGGAAUUUUGGACAAUGGGCGAAAGCCUGAUCCAGCCAUGCCGCGUGCAGGAUGAAGGCCUUCGGGUUGUAAACUGCUUUUGUACGGAACGAAAAGCCUCUUUCUAAUAAAGAGGGGUCAGGACGGUACCGUAAGAAUAAGCACCGGCUAACUACGU
RNAcentral lists this ribosomal RNA (481 nucleotides) under uncultured bacterium. Its description in RNAcentral is "partial 16S ribosomal RNA". It matches the Rfam family "Bacterial small subunit ribosomal RNA", at positions 30 to 506 of the family's 1533-position model. The record is from RNAcentral.